GGUAGAAUGUUUGAGUGAAAGAGCUUAAGAGCCUAACUCUUGCAAACAAGUGGGGGCAGAAGCAAAUGCCAAGGUGGCUCUUUAUUUUCUGAAAGAAUUGAAUUUCAAUUUAAUUGUUCAAUGUAUUAAUUUUGGAAUAUAGAAAUUCAUUACAAUCAGGGAUCUUUUUAUUCCUUCACAAAGGAUUGAUUUCCACUAUGAUGAUUUGGUGGAUCACCAAAGUCAUAACAGACCUCAAGAUUCAACGAACU
Molecule: long non-coding RNA, 251 nt
Filed under: Medicago truncatula (barrel medic)
Lineage: Eukaryota; Viridiplantae; Streptophyta; Magnoliopsida; Fabales; Fabaceae
Description: lncRNA gene48264
Source: RNAcentral